Long non-coding RNA from Chinchilla lanigera (long-tailed chinchilla), 357 nucleotides. RefSeq lists it as uncharacterized. The record is from RefSeq and is a predicted model, not a curated record. The transcript is spliced from 3 exons. Lineage: Eukaryota; Metazoa; Chordata; Mammalia; Rodentia; Chinchillidae.
GAGCCGCGCGCCAGGUUUCAGGUGAAAGGCGUCACCGGCUUCCGAGUCUACCGGCUCUUAACCCCGUAACAAGUUUUAACGAAUAUGCAGACGAGAAGAUAACUCACACUGCACAGUCGUUUUCUGAGAACCAAUCUCUGUUCGUUCACUUGUCCUUUCCACCGGACGUGUUCGGGGUUUGGAUGUGAUUUUGUUAUCUUUUCAAAGGUGAAAAUUUUCAGACAAUUUAGGAACAUCUCUCAAGCAUCAGGGCAUUAGUGGGGGAUGUGUUUCAGAGGCAGCCUCUUUGAACAGUCUGACGGCAUCAGGUCUCUGAGGCAAGGUGAGGAGGAAGAGAAAAACAUAAACACAAGCUUC